UACGUAGGGGGCGAGCGUUGUCCGGAAUUACUGGGCGUAAAGAGCUCGUAGGGGGUUUGUCGCGUUGUUCGUGAAAUCUCACGGCUUAACUGUGAGCGUGCGGGCGAUACGGGCAGACUAGAGUACUGCAGGGGAGACUGGAAUUCCUGGUGUAGCGGUGGAAUGCACAGAUAUCAGGAGGAACACCGGUGGCGAAGGCGGGUCUCUGGGCAGUAACUGACGCUGAGGAGCGAAAGCGUGGGGAGCGAACAGG
RNAcentral lists this ribosomal RNA (253 nucleotides) under uncultured bacterium. RNAcentral describes it as "partial 16S ribosomal RNA". It matches the Rfam family "Bacterial small subunit ribosomal RNA", at positions 524 to 776 of the family's 1533-position model. The record is from RNAcentral.